AUGGCUACUGAACAGAGUGAACUUGAUCUGUCAUAUGGGAUGCGUUACCAAGAUGUCAAAAUUCCAGAGGCAUACGAGCGCCUCAUUUUGGAUACAAUAAGAGGAGACCAGCAACACUUUGUGCGCCGAGAUGAGCUGAAGGCUGCCUGGCAGAUCUUCACUCCCUUGUUGCACGACAUCGACGCUGGCAAGCUGAAGGCUGUUUCAUACAAGCCUGGCAGCCGAGGCCCCAAGGAAGCUGAUGAACUGAGUGAGAAGGUUGGGUACAUGCAGACCCACGGUUACAUCUGGAUACCACCCACCCUUGCAUAG
RNAcentral lists this ribosomal RNA (312 nucleotides) under Triticum aestivum (bread wheat). Its description in RNAcentral is "partial small subunit ribosomal RNA". Lineage: Eukaryota; Viridiplantae; Streptophyta; Magnoliopsida; Poales; Poaceae. The record is from RNAcentral.